CAUCUGGUGAAUGAAGAAAUUGCUGACACGUUCGUUGCAGUCUAGCUGCCACUAACAGGGUGGAAAACAAAGGUCGCCAUUCCGAUUAACUGCUAUCUCCCAGUUCAAGCACUUUUGCUGUCCAAACACUGGUUCCUGUGGAUGGGGUGGCACACGCUUCACUGUCUAAUAUAGAAGGAAUUAUUCUGAAUGAUGCAGACAAAUUUCUAAAUACAGCAGAAUGAAUUAACCUAACGAUUGGGAAAAGUCUUCCCAGGAGCAGGAACCGCAGGACUAAAAGCAAAAUACGGUAAAUACGGCAAACUGGAACAUAUAAGCAAAUGGUGCACAGGGCAUGCAAGUUGUAAGCAUGAGCAACA
Ornithodoros turicata is the source of this 359-nucleotide long non-coding RNA. RefSeq lists it as uncharacterized. The transcript has 3 exons. The record is from RefSeq and is a predicted model, not a curated record. Lineage: Eukaryota; Metazoa; Arthropoda; Arachnida; Ixodida; Argasidae.